UACCCGCUGAACUUAAGCAUAUCAAUAAGCGGAGGAAAAGAAACCAACAGGGAUUGCCUUAGUAGCGGCGAGUGAAGCGGCAAAAGCUCAAAUUUGAAAUCUGGCACCUUCGGUGUCCGAGUUGUAAUUUGAAGAUUGUAACCUUGGGGUUGGCUCUUGUCUAUGUUUCUUGGAACAGGACGUCACAGAGGGUGAGAAUCCCGUGCGAUGAGAUGCCCAAUCCUAUGUAAGGUGCUUUCGAAGAGUCGAGUUGUUUGGGAAUGCAGCUCUAAGUGGGUGGUAAAUUCCAUCUAAAGCUAAAUAUUGGCGAGAGACCGAUAGCGAACAAGUACAGUGAUGGAAAGAUGAAAAGAACUUUGAAAAGAGAGUGAAAAAGUACGUGAAAUUGUUGAAAGGGAAGGGUUUGAGAUCAGACUCGAUAUUUUGUGAGCCUUGCCUUCGUGGCGGGGUGACCCGCAGCUUAUCGGGCCAGCAUCGGUUUGGGCGGUAGGAUAAUGGCGUAGGAAUGUGACUUUGCUUCGGUGAAGUGUUAUAGCCUGCGUUGAUGCUGCCUGCCUAGACCGAGGACUGCGAUUUUAUCAAGGAUGCUGGCAUAAUGAUCCCAAACCGCCCGUCUUGAAACACGGAC
This 628-nucleotide ribosomal RNA is filed under the name Meyerozyma guilliermondii. Its description in RNAcentral is "eukaryotic LSU rRNA". It matches the Rfam family "Eukaryotic large subunit ribosomal RNA", at positions 22 to 666 of the family's 3401-position model. The record is from RNAcentral. Lineage: Eukaryota; Fungi; Ascomycota; Pichiomycetes; Serinales; Debaryomycetaceae.